GGCCGCGAUGGCGCCCCUUUUUUUUCAGCACGGGAGGAUGUGCUAAACAUAUCGAACACCUCUCAGCUAAAAUGCCACGUUAAAAAAAAAACCCAAAACAUUCACUCUUUUGAGUGAAAGUGAUUUUUCAGUGAGCAAGGUGUUCGAUGAGCCUGACGUCAUCAGCCGGCGACAGCUUUUGCAUCAUGGCUUAAGAGGGUGGUGGAGAACCAGUGGCGUUUUGGCCCGGGAACGAUCAUGAGCAGCAUGAGUCGAGAUGAAGAGGCCAAAGUUGACUGUCCUGUCCCUCACAUGCAUGCUCCUUUACCUGCUCUUUCUCAAGCAUCAUUACGACCACAGAGCUCACAAACUCCCCCCACACCCUCGCCCAGGGGGACACAACUUCCACUAUAGCGUCAUGUUUGAUGCUGGCAGCACCGGCACCAGGGUCCAUGUUUUCAAAUUCCAGUCCAGUCACCAAGGUGCAGCAGUCCCCCAUCUGGAACAUGAGACCUACAGGGCCAUCAAACCUGGUCUGUCUGCCUAUGCUGGUGAGCCGCUGAAGUGUGUCCCCGGGAUUGAGCAGCUGCUGGAGGUGGCGAAGCUCAGUGUUCCAUCCUCUCAAUGGAAUGUGACUCCAGUGGCUCUGAAGGCCACAGCUGGACUCAGGCUGCUCCCUGGAGACAAGGCAGCCCGACUGCUGGACACCGUGAGGACCCUGUUUCAAGUGUCUCCGUUCCUGUCCAAGUCAGACUGCGUGUCGAUGAUGGACGGCACCGAUGAAGGGAUUUCAGCUUGGAUCACUGUCAACUUCCUGACUGGCGGUCUCCAGCGUCAGGGCUCUCCCACUGUGGGGAUGCUGGACCUUGGUGGGGGAUCAACUCAGAUCGCCUUCUGCCCUCAGGAUGAGAAAACGAUCCAGUCGUCGCCAGUGGACUUCAUCACGUCCCUCCAGAUGUUCAACCAAACACACAACCUCUACACACACAGUUAUCUGGGUCUCGGUCUGAUGUCAGCUCGACUCUCCAUCUUAGGCGGCGUGGAGGCCCCGCCCUUAGGGGGCAGCGUUCAGCUGGUGAGCCCCUGCUUGGCUCCAGAGUACUCGGGCGUCUGGCAGCACAACGACGUCAUCUAUGCUGUGAGGGGACAGAGGUCAGGUAAAGGAGCCAGAGCGGCCUCAGAGCCAGGCCGGGAGCUGAUCUGUGUGUGUGCAGGUGGAUCCAUGUUGGCAGCGUGUCGCAGCAGAGUGGAGAAACUUCUGUACCGGAAGGUGGAAAAAGUGAUGGCGGUGGAAGACAUGGACUUCUACGCCUUCUCCUACUACUAUGACCGCGCCGUCGACCUUGGCGCCAUAGAGGCGCCGUCAGCCGGUGUGGUCACUGUGGCGCAGUACUCCCACGCUGCCGAGAGAGUGUGUGCAGACUCGUACCCUGGUCCUCUUAACCGAGGUCCGUUUCUGUGUCUGGACCUGCUCUACAUCUCCGUCCUGCUGCAGGAGCUGGGCUUCCCUCCUCACAAGCAGCUCAAGGUCACAACCUGGACCACGAUCCGAGAGGAAAGUCGGCAUGAUUUGAAUGAAUGUCUUGUUCUCCAGCUGGCUAGAACCAUCAAUCACAUGGAGACCAGCUGGGCCCUGGGAGCAACAGUCCACUACCUCCAGUAUCUCAGGUCCAACUAGGUGCUGCGCUCUGUGAACCGGCUGAUCGCAGGUCCCUGAAGCAGGACGUGUCUGAUAAUACAGCGGGCUGUCUGAUCUCUGCCCAACAGGACAUGACACGUGCAAGUGCUCCACUAGCAGAACCUCAACCACGUCAGCAGGUGGAGCCACAAGUGUUUAAUCAGACAGUUCAGUCCAACAAUCUAGAAAGGGUGGGAACAGAGGAGUUUGCUUUCACACACACACACACGUCAUCGCUGGCAGGACCUCAUGAAGAAACCUUGUCCUCUCAAGCUUCUGCCUUCUGGUGUGUCCCAGCGCAACAAUGACAUGUGACGUGAUGCAACUCGACCAGUCACUAGUGAUGGAAGCCAUAAUCCCCGCCGCUCCAGAGGACCAGCACUGAUGUUCAGCCCAGUUGGGAGGAAGAAAGCUGCCACAACAAUUGGCUUCCAUUUAUAAAUAGCAGACAGUAUUAAACGUUUACGGUAAAAAUAGCCUCCUCCAAUGACCCUAAUACUCAACUGCAAACUGGCUUUUGCUACCGCCUGUCCGUAAACACAUUCAUGACUCGAUGACUACCGCAGCAGUCGAGCUCACUGGAAUGUCAACAGGAAGUGGACGCUGCGCCUCAAUCCACCGGAGUCCAGCUUGUGUUCAGGGGCCUGGAGGCGGAGCUGCGCCCCAAAACUCCCUGGAAGAAGCGUAGUGUCACAGAAGAGGAGGCGGAGGGGCGGCUCCAGGGGCCGGUACCUCAGAAUGCGCGGCAGCUCCGGGCUCCUGUAGAUGUAUUUGUGCCUGUAGUUCCGACUGGCAGGGAAGGGAACAAACUGGACUUUGUGACCGCUCAGACUCUGGGACUGGGUGGCCUGGUGGUACAGCUGAGGAAAGAGAGCACAGAUGUGGAGGCAGCAACUGUGGGUCGCUCACCACAGAACAGAACAGAACUGGGCUGAAAGGUGAUAAGAGUGAAGAGAAGGGAACAAAAAUACACAGGAAGGAAACGGACAAGGGCAAAGUUGAGUUCAGAAGUGAAGAAGGAGCGAAGCAAAGCUGAGGGCAUGAACACGAGCACGGAAUCAUCCAGAGACACCCGCUCUUUCUGCUGUCCCACUGAGCUCAUUACACUCGCAAUACGUGAGCAAGCAUGUGUGUGUGCGCGCGGGGAGAGGAGCGGAUCUAACCUUUUGACCCAGAUGAAACGGAACCACUGCAUCAUCUUCUGCAUGGAGGAUCAGCACCGGGCAGGAGAUGUGGUGAACGCUGCACCCACACAACAAAGCUGCAGCUCCACUUUUGUCCACGAGAUGUCAGUGAAGUUCAGACGACAACGGCCACCUACUUCUCAUCGCUGGCGAAGCGGAUAUUGUUCUCGCUGAUGGCGUCCAAGAAGAACCAGUCAAAGCCAGGCAGGAAGCGGUAGAUCUGAGGAGCACGCUGGAAUCAGUGGGUGAGCGGGUUCAUCUGUGUGUGUGUGGGCUCCAGUCUGGUUCAGAGUACCGGUUCAGGUGAGCCACGUCUUUUGGAGGGUUAGGUUUGGGGUGAAAAGGGUGAUGGCAAUGAGAAACCUCACAAUGUCCCCACAGAGAUAGCGAUCCAAACCCGUGUCUGUGUGCGUUCAUCAGUUAGGUGUGUUGCACGCGUCGAUGAGACGGGCGUCAGUAGCUGAUGUGUGUUUCUAUACGUCACCGUGGAGAAGGGGUGACUCCUGGCCUCCUCCCUGAUGUUGGUGAAGGGCGACUCCAGCACCAGAGCGUCUGGAGGGCUUCCUGCAACACACACGUGCUGUGGGACUGUGACUCAGAGGCAGGUCAGUGGCGCAUUACCUCUCUCACACAGCUGCCGCACCAGGUUGGUGGCCACUCUGUGAACAACAGUCAAGUGAGUGACAUCAGUGGCGCAGCGCCGCCGCCGAGCGCAGCGGUCUCACCCGGUCCCCAGAGAGUGUCCCCAGAUGUACAGCGGUCGCUUCUCCACUCGCUGCCGCAGCCAGGUGUAGACGAAGAGAGAGUCCACCGUCAUGCCCGCCUCAGAGGGCGAGCCGUCCGAGUCGCCCCAUCCUGGGGUCACACACACAGGGUCACCCACACACACACACACACACACACACACACACACACACACACACACACACACACACACACGGCCAAGAGAGGGCCACGAUGUUCUCUCACCUCGGUAGUCGAAGGUAACCACGUGGUAGGCCAGCGAGCUGAGGACCUGCGGGCAGAGGAGCCAGUGUGUCAACACCUCCUGAUCUUCUUGAGAGGACCAGUCUUGGGCGAGCGGCCAGUCCUCAGAAGGUUUGGAGGGUGAAGACGUGAAAUUAACUCAGUUUGGUCCAGGGCCCUGGUCCAAGUGAGCCGUGUGUUAUGGUCAGCUUUAGGGUGGCCGCCAUGAGAGAGCCCCCCCACCCCCCCAGGACAGGCAGACAAACGUGUGCGUGCGUGUGUGUGUGUGUGUGUGUGUGUGUGUGUGUACACCUUGUACAGCUGUACCCGGUGGUCGCCACCUCUGUCACGACGGACGGCAGAUCGGAGGUCCAAACAUGGGAAGCUGCCUCGAGGCUCGGGUCCAGACGCGCAGCGUGUGUGUGCCUCACCUGGUCCCUGCGUUGCCAUGGAGAUAAAGGACGACAGGAUGAGAGGAUCGCAGCAUGGAGUGGAACCACUCGCCGUCCUGGCCGGCAGCAGCUCGCCACAUGUGAUCCGGGACCGUGUGCCUGAAACGCAGCCACCUGAGUAGGAAGCCCCGUCGCCGAGUCUGGAGUGGGCUCUCACCAGACGCCGAUCUUCAGGCCCUCCUCUGGCUCCAGGUAAAAGUUGUGUGUGUGGUUGAGUCCUUGGUCUAGGGGGCGCUGCAGGUCGAUGAAAUAGGGCAGCCUCACUGUGGAGGCAGAAGACAUGACAACACGCGGUUGACCCCACUCAUGACGCAGGAGCGCGGCCGACUUUGACUCAGAUCCACUGAGUUCACUCACCAAAGUUGAGAAAAACUAGUUUGGCCUGGAUGGACGGACACAGUUUGACCAAGACCGGGACGGAUGCGUAGACCAGCAGCAGCCACAGGAGGGCGCUCUUCACCCGGGACGCCAGACCGGACCUGCGAAAAGGAUCGGCGCGCACACAGUUAGUCGCACCAUCCUUGUGGGGACCUCUCCUGGCCUUCGCCCUUGAACACAUGGUACACCUGAACCAGGACUUUCAAGGUUUAACCUUGGGGUCCAGUGACAGGGGCCCCACACUGGACUGGAUUUGCUUCAACACACACACACACGCAGGAAACAUCAUCCAGUUGAUCUAAAUGAUUCAUCAGUCCAAAGGCACAAGAGGAACUUUACACUGCGUGCGCGUGCGCGGCCUCCGGUCGAGCCUUAUCGGCAGCUGUCUCAGGUUGAAAUGUCACCUCAACACGUGACAUCAGGAGCGGGUUUGGAUGCGUUCAAUGGCCUCGCACCCUGAACUAAGGAGUCUGAAACGACCUCCCGCAGUCAACAGUGAGCGGCAGGUGCCACGUGCACGUGUACUUUGACCCCGCAGCAGGAGCGACGCCGCGGCUCGUGCUGCUCGAUUGAAAUCAUCCGGAUCCAAGAACGUCACAUCGGCAACAGAAGGCGAACAAGAUAAGCGACACGUGUGAACCUCUCUCACUCAUUCCUUCAUCUAUCCAUCCAUCACCUGCAGGACGGAGCACACGCCCCCUACAGGUGACGAUGGGAACCACAGCGGAUGAGCGACGAAGCAAUAGAGGUGGUUCUACGGCUUCAUCGCUCGGUCCGUGUCCGGGUCACCAGCCCACCCCGGUCACACCGGUCCAACUGGGCACCACACGCGGCCCGAGAGUCAAACUUGGUGGCUCGACCCCACGCUUUGCCAUUCACAACACCGAGUGGUGAGAAUGACGCGACGAACGUGACAGCGACGCGUCGCUCACCUCCGCACGCGCCUCUUCAUGGUCGGCGCCUCUGUCGAGUCACAACCCACCGCCUCCUCG
Molecule: RNA transcript, 5629 nt
Organism: Synchiropus splendidus (mandarinfish)
Lineage: Eukaryota; Metazoa; Chordata; Actinopteri; Syngnathiformes; Callionymidae
Gene: entpd6
Gene name: ectonucleoside triphosphate diphosphohydrolase 6
Exons: 13
Source: RefSeq, a predicted model, not a curated record